GUCAUAGAGAAGGGCAGCUUCCUAUGUAUAAAGGCCAAUUUUAAACUUAGCAGUGACUAAGACAUUUUUAAAGGGCAAGUCGGAGUGGAGGCAGAGAGGAUAAGCUGCCUCGGUCACAAAUACUACACCCAGAACUCCAGCACAGACUUGAACAUUCAGAGCAAACAGCAAGAGAUCAAGACACUAAGUGCUGUUUGCUGCAGUAAUAGGCAUUACUGGAACAUGAUGACUGCUAUGAAAGACAAUUAGACUAACUUGGAUUUAAUUCCCAAUAGACUCACAUUUGAGGUUAAAAUACAAAAAGAAACAGAGAAAAAUGGAAAUGCUUGCAUUUACUGAACAGAAGGAAUUCACCCAUUCAUUGCCAGUAAGUACCUGGCAGGUGGAAUAAUUCAGCAGCCACAACUGCCGAAUCGGGGAUUCUGUGCCCAAUGAACCUAUCAGAGACCACUGCGGGCAAGCAGUUACAAGGACAGAGGCCCCGAUGACGCUCUCCCAUGUCACCUGCUUAUGACGGACGUCAAACUUCAUGGACACUGAACCAGGCCCUGGAGACGAAAGAGUGAGAAGGCAGAAACGAUCCCGUCACUGGGAAGCUCACACUGCAGAGGAGGGACCCACCGUCAGGACCAGGCACCUUUCAGCCAGUAGACAUGGUCUAGUGGAGAAGGCCCGUGAUGAGGGGCCCAGCAUCCCAAGUUCCCUUUCUGCUCCGCUGGUCUCCAGCUGGCUCACUUUGACUUCGUUCCCAGUCCCUCUGUGCCACAACUGUCUCACCUACAAAAUGAAGGAGAUUGGUCCAGCUCGCUGAAUCCUCACAACAUCCUGGAUACCGCUGUUUCCAUUUCAUAGCUGGGGAAGGGAGACCAAGAAAAAUGAAACGGUUUCCAAGACCCCACAGUUGAUGUAACUACUACAGCUCUCCCAUGGAUGAAAUACUAGGUUACAAUGUCUACUGUUUUGCUGGGAAACAGCUCAUUUUCUCACAGAGAAAGGUGAGGGUAAAAUGAAAGGGUCAAGAGUCCACCUUGGAAAGUCUUCUGGACAAUAACCAAACAUAGUCCACAACAGACUUCUUUCAGAGUUGCCGUCACCUCCCCUUGACCCUCUCUGCAUUUCACAUACAGUCCCUCUACUCCAGGGAGCCGUGGAAUUGACGCAAAAUGGAGAAGGAGAAAGGAUCCAGGGGUACCGAGGAGCACGUGAGGGAAUCACUCACUGAAACGGAGGAACAGUUCAUCCCCGGAAAUAAGAUCCAGCGCUAUGGCGUUAAUUCAGUGUCUUUACUGUUGUGGUUAGUCAUGGAGAAAUUCGGGGCAUCAGAGCUGUUCCUUUAAAGACCGAGGCCACUGUGCUCAUGGACGAGCCAUCACCACACCAUUAUGACUAGUUUUCCUACCCACAUUUGGCCUGGUUUUCCUAUCGACUUCCCAAUCCCUGUGAACGUGUGCAGGUAUUUCCCCGACAAUCUCUACUACUCCCCACUCCACUUGGCCUGUUUGGGAACAGGACUGCUAUUCCAAAUGCAUUCUAUUUGGAAUGUGCAUUCGCCACCGACAACAGACAAAUAAGCCAGAAGCAAAACCACUUUUGACUCUGGGAUACUAACUGCAACAAAUUGCCUGGAAAUAACAAAAUGAGGCUGAAAAGACUAGGAUAAAUAUUCCCUGCAUUUUCUGCAAAAUACCAAUAUUAGCCACGGAAGACACAGGCCAUUUAGCUCCUUGAGCAUCAUUGUAUGAUCCAUAGUUUCCUCACAAGAAGCAAGUUCUGUUUGUGCCAACUGUGUAUGAUUCUGCUUCUAAAGCAUUACUCAAAUUCAACAUUCAGCUCUGCUCAGAGUAUGCAUAAUACACGAAUUAAUAACUAAUAUGAAAAGAAAAAAGGCUCUGCAUGAAAUAACCUUUUUCAGACUGAGCAAUAAUCCUCCACGUACAGUAACAAAAAUAGAUGUAACUUCCUUCUCCUCCUGAGAUGUCCAAUUCCACUCUCCGCGGGAGACUCAUCAAUGAACUUCGAUAAAACACC
Equus asinus (donkey) is the source of this 2028-nucleotide long non-coding RNA. Lineage: Eukaryota; Metazoa; Chordata; Mammalia; Perissodactyla; Equidae. The record is from Ensembl.